This 491-nucleotide ribosomal RNA is filed under the name uncultured bacterium. Its description in RNAcentral is "partial 16S ribosomal RNA". It matches the Rfam family "Bacterial small subunit ribosomal RNA", at positions 29 to 506 of the family's 1533-position model. The record is from RNAcentral.
AGUGAACGCUGGCGGUAGGCCUAACACAUGCAAGUCGAACGGCAGCACAGUAAGAGCUUGCUCUUACGGGUGGCGAGUGGCGGACGGGUGAGGAAUACAUCGGAAUCUACUUUUUCGUGGGGGAUAACGUAGGGAAACUUACGCUAAUACCGCAUACGACCUACGGGUGAAAGCAGGGGAUCUUCGGACCUUGCGCGAUUGAAUGAGCCGAUGUCGGAUUAGCUAGUUGGCGGGGUAAAGGCCCACCAAGGCGACGAUCCGUGGCUGGUCUGAGAGGAUGAUCAGCCACACUGGAACUGAGACACGGUCCAGACUCCUACGGGAGGCAGCAGUGGGGAAUAUUGGACAAUGGGCGCAAGCCUGAUCCAGCCAUACCGCGUGGGUGAAGAAGGCCUUCGGGUUGUAAAGCCCUUUUGUUGGGAAAGAAAAGCAGCAGGUUAAUACCCCGCUGUUCUGACGGUACCCAAAGAAUAAGCACCGGCUAACUUCGU